Molecule: long non-coding RNA, 830 nt
Organism: Globicephala melas (long-finned pilot whale)
Lineage: Eukaryota; Metazoa; Chordata; Mammalia; Artiodactyla; Delphinidae
Source: RefSeq, a predicted model, not a curated record
AGGCAACUGAAUCUUAGAGCUGAAACGACUAGAUAGAGGUCCCAGAAUUCACAAGCAGCGGAGUGGAGCAUCGAAUUCAGUGCCAUGUAAAGUGUUCAGCUUCACAAAGAGCUGUCAUUUUAAGAGCAUCAGGAAAAAAUAAAUGAGCUGCACCUGCAAACACCUUAUCGCCACGUAAACUAGGAGCUAUAUAUCCAUGUAUGAAUCAUAGUGUCAGGAGUGGAGAACAGGUUUAACUGACAACUACGCAAUGAUCAGAAGUUCAAAUUGCUCUACAUUUCUUAAAGAAGGGCAAAGAAUAAGAAGAGGGGAGGAGGUGCUGUCACGAUAGCAUUGCCAAGAUAUGACCUUAGUCACUUUGUGUGUUAUAAGAGGAGGUCUUCAUCAUAAUUUUGGAGAUGGUUAUCACCUUCACCUGUGUGGUCCUGCGUAUAAAUCUAGAAAGAAUGACCCAAAACAAUUUUCACCAUGAUUCUGAAACAUCUUGAAGUAAAAACAGACUUCAGUUUUGAAACUUUGUGCAUAAUGAAAAAUAGGACACUGGUAUCACAAGAAAGAGUAAUGGAAACAAUUCUGGGAUUUACUGAUGAUGGAGUUGUUCAGGAUUCAGUGCCUCUUUUCAGGGUCCAAAUCACCUCUUCCAGCAGAGCAAAAGCUGAAAGUUCAAAGCCAACUUGAAGGAGCUCUACCAUUGACCAGCCGAAGUUCACAAACGUCCAAAUAGCUUCCUCAUCUGUAAAAUGGGAUUCUUACAGAACUCGUCCUGUAGGAGUCAAGAAGAACCAACUGCAGUAUGGCAUGCUAAACACACAGCACAUGCAUGGCACUUU